GAAGGAUAAUGGCAAACCAGAUCGAAAGACUGGGACGCAAAGCCACGGGUCUUCUGCUUAAUGCAAUGAUCGCCGGGUUCCCCUC
RNAcentral lists this non-coding RNA (85 nucleotides) under Paenibacillus sp. RNAcentral's name for it is "c-di-GMP sequence". It matches the Rfam family "c-di-GMP-I riboswitch aptamer". Rfam says of the family: GEMM was predicted in a large-scale screen for bacterial structured RNA regulatory elements. Genes associated with GEMM are involved in a diverse array of functions, including chemotaxis regulation, signal transduction, secretion and chitin. Lineage: Bacteria; Bacillati; Bacillota; Bacilli; Caryophanales; Paenibacillaceae. The record is from RNAcentral.